This 433-nucleotide ribosomal RNA is filed under the name uncultured bacterium. RNAcentral describes it as "partial 16S ribosomal RNA". It matches the Rfam family "Bacterial small subunit ribosomal RNA", at positions 29 to 507 of the family's 1533-position model. The record is from RNAcentral.
AACGAACGCUGGCGGCAUGCCUAACACAUGCAAGUCGAACGAGACCUUCGGGUCUAGUUGCGCACGGGUGCGUAACGCGUGGGAACCUGCCCUUAGGUUCGGAAUAACUCCCCGAAAGGGGUGCUAAUACCGGAUAAUGUCUUCGGACCAAAGAUUUAUCGCCUUUGGAUGGGCCCGGGUUGGAUUAGCUAGUUGGUAGGGUAAAAGCCUACCAAGGAGUCGAUCCAUAGCUGGUCUGAGAGGAUGGUCAGCCACACUGGGACUGAGACACGGCCCAGACUCCUACGGGAGGCAGCAGUGGGGAAUAUUGGAAAAUGGGCGAAAGCCUGAUCCAGCAAUGCCGCGUGAGUGAUGAAGGCCUUAGGGAUGUAAAGCUCUUUUACCCGGGAUGAUAAUGACAGUACCGAGAGAAUAAGCUCCGGCUAACUCCGUG